RNAcentral lists this transfer RNA (75 nucleotides) under Allocoprococcus comes. Its description in RNAcentral is "Coprococcus comes tRNA-Met(cat)". It matches the Rfam family "tRNA". From Rfam's summary of the family: Transfer RNA (tRNA) molecules are approximately 80 nucleotides in length. The record is from RNAcentral. Lineage: Bacteria; Bacillati; Bacillota; Clostridia; Lachnospirales; Lachnospiraceae.
UGGAUCAUUAGUUCAGCGGUAGAACAUUCGCCUCAUAAGCGAAAUGUCACAGGUUCGAUACCUGUAUGAUCCAUC